AAUUCUCAACCUUACUUGCUUUUGCUUGUGAGGCUUGGACGUGAGGGCUUGCUGGCUUCCUUCAGUGGAUGGUCUGCUCCCUUUAAAUGCAUUAGUGGGAUCCUUUGUGGACGGUCACUUGGUGUGAUAAUUAUCUACGCCGCUUGGCUGUGAAGCAAGACUUGUGGGAACCUGCUCAUAACCGUCGAAAGACAGCCAUUGACA
RNAcentral lists this unclassified non-coding RNA (204 nucleotides) under uncultured Mycena. RNAcentral's name for it is "sequence contains ITS2". Lineage: Eukaryota; Fungi; Basidiomycota; Agaricomycetes; Agaricales; Tricholomataceae. The record is from RNAcentral.